AUUGAACGCUGGCGGCAGGCCUAACACAUGCAAGUCGGGCGAGCGGGGGACGGGUGAGUUAUAUGUGGGGACUGCCUGAUGGAGGGGGAACACUACGGGAAACGGUAGCUAACACCGCAAUCACGCAGAACCCACAUAUGGGAUUAGCUUGUAGGUGAGGUAACGGCUCACCUAGGACACGAUCCCUAGCUGGUCUGAGAGGAUGAUCAGCCAAACUGGGACUGAGACACGGCCCAGACUCCUACGGAGGCAGCAGUGGGGAAUAUUGCACAAUGGGCGCAAGCCUGAUGCAGCCAUGCCGCGUGUAUGAAGAAGGCCCUCGGGUUGUAAAGUACUUUCAGUCGGGAGGCGUUACCGACAGAAGAAGCACCGGCUAACUCCGUGCCAGCAGCCGCGGUAAUAC
Molecule: ribosomal RNA, 403 nt
Filed under: uncultured bacterium
Lineage: Bacteria
Description: partial 16S ribosomal RNA
Rfam family: Bacterial small subunit ribosomal RNA
Source: RNAcentral